GAGAAUGAUUCUUGCUCUGUCACCCAGGCUGGAGUGCAGUGGUGCGAUCUUGGCUCACUGCAAGCUCUGCCUCCCGGGUUCACACCAUUCUCCUGCCUCAGCCUCCUGAGUAGCUGGGACUAUGGGCUCCUGCCACCAGUUUUUUUAUUUUUGUAGAGAUGGAGUCUCCCAAUGUUGCCCAGGCUGGUCUUAAACUCCUAGGCUCAAGGGAUCCUCCCAGCUGGGCCUCCCAAAGUGCUGGGAUGAUAGGCAUGAACCACCAUUCCCAGCCCAUUUCCUUUUUCCCUUUGCACAGUACCAGAUAUAUGGUUGGUACUGCAGAAAUAAUUUCCCCCUGCCCUCUACAUUGAUCAUUUGAUGACCAAAUAGUGUCCGUCUAGCCACUUAUUUAUGAUUUGUACAAAACAUUCCGCUUUCUGAGGUAGACAGUGAUAUUCUGAAGCCAUCAGUAAGAGUAAUUUUCAGUUUGUUGAAAGUGAACAUUCUUUGUGUAAAGGUCAGCCUGUCAGGAAAUAGCAUGCUACUCUGUUCUUUUAAAUACCUAGUGGUCUCACCAGAUGUUUUCAAAUCAGAACUGGGGCAAUCUAGUUGUAAUUUAUUUUCACAAAUUUAUGAGAAUAAGAGCUGAUAUUUUUCUUGCUUGAAUUAGCAGGUAAUUUCAUUCUCCAUUCCUCUUUAGUGGGGAAAAUCUAGCCUUUGGAUGAAAAUGUGAACCAGAGGUUCUUGCCAAGUCUGCAAAGCAGUAUAAAGAUUAGUUUUAUGAAUGAAGGAAAACACUACUCAUUUUUCUUAGGAGGCUGCUUACUUCUGCAUUUGUAUAACAUGUUUUUAGACUGAAAGCUCAUAGAGAAAAGAGAAGGAUCCUCAUUCUAGAAUAUCUGCUCCCCUGUACUUAGCAUAUUCAUAGUCUUUCAAGACUUAAUUUAUUAAAGAUGUUAAAGACUUUGACACUUGGCUUACAGUCUUUCUCCUUCACCUGAAUUCCUGCCCUCAUCCUGAGUAAAUUCAUCACCCAAGUAGACAGCCCAUCUAAUACUGUUGGGAAGGGAAGGUUAUACCGUGUUAUGGAUUAAUCUCUACCUUAUGCCAAAGUAUGGUGUUAUAAUUCUCCUUUGCAUACCCAAAAUUAACAAUAGGCUGAAUCAUUUGAUUAUCAUUCCC
RNAcentral lists this long non-coding RNA (1161 nucleotides) under Homo sapiens (human). RNAcentral's name for it is "non-protein coding TRAF3IP2-AS1:18". The record is from RNAcentral. Lineage: Eukaryota; Metazoa; Chordata; Mammalia; Primates; Hominidae.